CAUUAAGAAGCUAAGCUAGCGUUAACCUUUUAAGUUAAAGACUGAGGACCAGCCCCCCUCCUUAAUGA
This 68-nucleotide transfer RNA is filed under the name Rhinolophus pusillus (least horseshoe bat). RNAcentral's name for it is "tRNA-Lys". RNAcentral also lists the same sequence under 2 other names. Lineage: Eukaryota; Metazoa; Chordata; Mammalia; Chiroptera; Rhinolophidae. The record is from RNAcentral.